Molecule: non-coding RNA, 51 nt
Organism: Haemophilus pittmaniae HK 85
Lineage: Bacteria; Pseudomonadati; Pseudomonadota; Gammaproteobacteria; Pasteurellales; Pasteurellaceae
Source: Rfam
CACGCGGUGUAAGGAGAAAGUUCUUAUAGCGGCGUGGCUUCAUUUUGAGGU